AUGUACUUAUUUAUUUGUUUGACUUGCUUGUUUGCAGCAAGAUGGUGGACCGUGCAUGGAACUUCUGCAAAGGACUUGAAGAAGAUGGCUAUUAGAAUCUUGAGCUUAACUUGCAGUUCUUCGGCAUGUGAAAGAAAUUGGUCUGCAUUUGAGAGGGUACAUUCAAAGAAGAGGACCAGACUAGGCCAGAAGAAGUUGAAUGAUCUUGUUUAUGUGAUGUUCAACAAGAGGCUGGACUCCAAGUACUCUGAGAGGGAAAGGGACCCACUGCUUGCAAAAUACAUUGAAGAUGAGCCACCAAAUGAGUGGAUGUUGGAUGAAGAGCUACUACAAGAUGAUGAGUCAUCUGAAGAUGAAGCUGAAAUUGACAUCAAUUCAAAGGGGAAACAAAAAUCUGUAGCUUCAAGAACUAGAGGCAAAAGAGCUCGUACAAAUCAAGAUGUUGAAGAUGAGGAGGAAGUGGCAGAAGAAGAGGAAAUGGAAGAAGAGGAUGAGAACCAAGAAGAUGAGGAGGACAAUGAUGAAGACCAAGAAGUGGACAUCGAUCUGACUGUUGAAGAUGAAGAGGAUGGUGAAUGA
RNAcentral lists this ribosomal RNA (579 nucleotides) under Triticum aestivum (bread wheat). RNAcentral describes it as "partial small subunit ribosomal RNA". The record is from RNAcentral. Lineage: Eukaryota; Viridiplantae; Streptophyta; Magnoliopsida; Poales; Poaceae.